RNAcentral lists this ribosomal RNA (509 nucleotides) under uncultured Glomus. RNAcentral's name for it is "SSU rRNA". It matches the Rfam family "Eukaryotic small subunit ribosomal RNA", at positions 569 to 1081 of the family's 1831-position model. Lineage: Eukaryota; Fungi; Glomeromycota; Glomeromycetes; Glomerales; Glomeraceae. The record is from RNAcentral.
AGCAGCCGCGGUAAUUCCAGCUCCAAUAGCGUAUAUUAAAGUUGUUGCAGUUAAAAAGCUCGUAGUUGAAUUUCGGGAUCAGUAGGUCGGUCGUGCCACUGGUAUGAACUGGUCUCACUGGUUCCUCCCUCUUGACGAACUGCAAUGCUAUUAAUUUAGUGUAGUAGGAAAUCAGGACUGUUACUUUGAAAAAUUAGAGUGUUUAAAGCAGGCUUUGGCUUGAAUACAUUAGCAUGGAAUAAUGAAAUAGGACGUUCGAUCCUAUUUUGUUGGCUUCUAGGAUUGACGUAAUGAUUAAUAGGGACAGUUGGGGGCAUUAGUAUUCAAUUGUCAGAGGUGAAAUUCUUGGAUUUAUUGAAGACUAACUACUGCGAAAGCAUUUGCCAAGGAUGUUUUCAUUAAUCAAGAACGAAAGUUAGGGGAUCGAAGACGAUCAGAUACCGUCGUAGUCUUAACCAUAAACUAUGCCGACUAGGGAUCGGAUGAUGUUAAUUUUUAAUGACUCAUUC